AAAUCUUAUGAUCAACUUGCCCUAGAACUCAACACACUUUCUUCUUCUUCUUCCUUUCAGCUUUCAGAUCGCAGCAGUAGCCGGAGCUUAACGGCGCCGGACUCCCACGUCACGCUGCUUUUACGACGGUCAAAAGUUGACUGACGUGGCAUAACAACGCCUCCAACAACGCUCGGUAACACAAGAUGAGCUUCAUAAGCCAGUUGUUCAAGCAAUCCUUACGAAGUCGAGCUGAGAAACCAGAUGGUUUUACUUGUUUCGUGUAAACUAUUUGACCGUGAUUUCUCUGUUUAAAAAAAUCUGGAUUUCAAAGUUGUCUGAGAGGGGAUGAUUAAUUAUGCAUCACGUGCACGUGGCGACGUUGAUAGCAGAAAGAAAAAUUAUGCAGAAAUUUGGAGCUUGAAGAAAAGAUAAAAUUUGAAGAAGAGAAGUUCGAGCUCCUGAAAACAUAUUAUGAUAAGAUGGCUGAUUUGAGGAGCAGGUUCUGGAAGGAAGCGAUCGAGUCACGGAUAGGGUUUGUUGCAGAGGUGAGUCAGUUUUUGCAAAACUACAAAAUAGAUGUUUGAGUUUGUAUAUGCUCGUGUGAUGUGCAGAGUGGUUAAGGGGGUACAUGCACUAUUCGGCGUUUGUCUCAAUUGCUGAGUGUUAUGUGCCUUAUGUCCAAGGCUUGAUGCAAAACUACUAUCGAGCCGGGGGUCUCACUGGAAGUAGCAUCUCUAUUUUUACAGGGUAGAAGUUCAAGGGGGCAUUUGGUAUACAGGUGUCUUCUCCAUCAACAUGUCCAAAAGUUGAGGAAACCACCCUCGGUAUAUCAAACACAAAAUGAAGGAUCCGACCAUAAUCCAAGGUUCAGAUCCACUGUUUCGGUAGAUGGUGUGAGCUACACAUCAUCAAACACAUUUCAACUUCGUAAGAUGGCUGAGUUGGAUGUUUCCAGAAUUGCAUAUACUGCCAUAACGCAGAAGAAAAAAACUGAAGCAUUGCAGUUUAUACAACAGGAUAAAACCUAUUGCAAGUCUAUUAUGGUUGAAUUUGCAUCUAAGAAGAAUAUAAGAAUACCUGUUUACCAGACAAAACAUCUAAAGGUGCCGGUUCUUGUUUUCCAUUCUAAGUUGCUUUUCAACAGUGGUACUUAUCCGGGAGAUAUUGCCAAAAGCAAGAAAGAAGUCGAACAAUUGGUGGCGCACUCUGUUAUUAUUAAUAUUUUAGCUUCGGAGUCUGAUACUGACAUGACGGACAUAGUGAAUAGCAAGCUCCGGCAUAAUAAGGAAAUCAAACGUAUUCAGAUUAGCUCGCACGUUUUAAAAGCAUAAGCGGGCUACAAAACCAGCACCAUGGCUCCAGCCACAACCACAUCUACAACUGCAGGUGUACCUCAACCAAUUAUUCCACAACAAUUGGUUGAGCCAGUUACUCCAGCUGCUCCUGUUGUAGUUCAACCGCCUACUAAACGAGUAAAAACUGAGCCGGUUGAUCUAGACGUUCCUCUUGAAACUCGACGACCAACUCCACGAGUAUCAACUAAGUCGAACUUAGUUCAAGGCACCAUGGUUCCACCAACAAUUCCAUAUUCAGUUGCACCUCAACCGAUUGUUCCACAACUGUCAGUGGGACGAGCCACUCCAGCUAUUCCUGUUGCAAUUCAACGUCCUCAACUAGUAUCAACUAGGCCAAUCCAUGCAUUUGUUCGUGUUCCUGUUGUAAGUCAACAGCCUAUCAAGGCAGCUGUUGCUGAACCUCGGGUUUUGACAGCAGUCCCAUAUGUGGUAGUCAACAACUCAUGCACUCCUGUGGUAUCAACGACAAUGGUUGAAAUUCCAGCAACCACCAAUGUGAGUUCACUACCGCAGCCAGAAGCAUCACCUGCUCAAUCACUGGAGUACAUAGCACUUGUGAAUCAAGCUUCUGACAAGAAACGAAGACGAACACAAUGGAAAAAUGCCCGAAAGAAGAUGCGUGCUAAUGCUCAGUAAGUGUUAUCAAGCUUCUUAGCAUGGUGGUGGCGUGAGAUUGAGCCUCUGAAUCGUUAAUUAUUGUUAUGUAGAAGUUUGUUGUACUGUUGGUUGUGUUUUGGACCUUAUAAUUGGUGUUUUUGUAGGUGGUCAUGAAUCAUGAUAAUGUAUGUUGUUUUUUGUUUUUGUGUUU
Helianthus annuus (common sunflower) is the source of this 2145-nucleotide RNA transcript. It is a transcript of the gene named protein app1, with no coding region annotated. The record is from RefSeq and is a predicted model, not a curated record. The transcript is spliced from 6 exons. NCBI's taxonomy places the organism in Eukaryota, Viridiplantae, Streptophyta, Magnoliopsida, Asterales, Asteraceae.